GUAGGUGGCAAGCGUUGUCCGGAAUUAAUGGGCGUAAAGCGCGCGCAGGCGGUUCUUUAAGUCUGAUGUGAAAGCCCACGGCUCAACCGUGGAGGGUCAUUGGAAACUGGAGAACUUGAGUACAGAAGAGGAAAGCGGAAUUCCACGUGUAGCGGUGAAAUGCGUAGAGAUGUGGAGGAACACCAGUGGCGAAGGCGGCUUUCUGGUCUGUAACUGACGCUGAGGCGCGAAAGCGUGGGGAGCAAACAGGAUUAGAUACCCUGGUAGUCCACGCCGUAAACGAUGAGUGCUAAGUGUUAGGGGGGUUUUCCGCCCCCCUUAGUGCUGCAGCUAACGCAUUAAGCACUCCGCCUGGGAGUACGGCCGCAAGGCUG
RNAcentral lists this ribosomal RNA (374 nucleotides) under uncultured organism. RNAcentral's name for it is "partial 16S ribosomal RNA". It matches the Rfam family "Bacterial small subunit ribosomal RNA", at positions 527 to 896 of the family's 1533-position model. The record is from RNAcentral.